UGGUGGAGUGAUUUGUCUGGUUAAUUCCGUUAACGAACGAGACCUCAGCCUGCUAAAUAGUUUGACGAACAUACGUGUUCGCAUCAAAGCUUCUUAGAGGGACUU
RNAcentral lists this ribosomal RNA (105 nucleotides) under uncultured eukaryote. RNAcentral describes it as "partial 18S ribosomal RNA". It matches the Rfam family "Eukaryotic small subunit ribosomal RNA", at positions 1299 to 1422 of the family's 1831-position model. The record is from RNAcentral.